This 494-nucleotide ribosomal RNA is filed under the name uncultured bacterium. RNAcentral's name for it is "partial 16S ribosomal RNA". It matches the Rfam family "Bacterial small subunit ribosomal RNA", at positions 28 to 507 of the family's 1533-position model. The record is from RNAcentral.
GACGAAUGCUUGCGGCGUGCUUAACACAUGCAAGUCGAACCGUGAAGCGCCUUCCUUUUUGGUGGGUGUGGCUGAGUGGCGAACGGGUGAGUAACACGUGAGUAACCUGCCCCCUUCUUCUGGAUAACCGCAUGAAAGUGUGGCUAAUACGGGAUAUUCUGGGUCUGUCGCAUGAUGGGUCUGGGAAAGAUCUUGUUUCGGUGUGGGAUGGGCUAGCGGCCUAUCAGCUUGUUGGAGGGGUGAUGGCCUACACAGGCGGUGACUGGUGACCGGUGUAAUCGGGAGGACGGAGACACUGAGAAUGGGACACGGCGCAGACAUCUGAGGGGGGAGACAGAGGGGAAUGUUGGACAAUGGGCGAAAGCCUGAGGCAGUGACGCAACGUGAGGGAUGGAGGCCUUCGGGUGGUGAACCUCUGGCGCCAGUGAAGCAGGCCUGCCUCGGUUGUGGGUGGGUGGACGGUAGCUGGAUAAGAAGCGCGGGCUAACUACGUG